UUGAUGUUACCUAUAAUUGAUGAGUGAACGUUUAAAUCUUAUUUUUAUAACAAAAUACUAACGAUACUUGAACAGAUUCGUGUUACUAAAGCUUGAUUUUUGUCUAAGAAAUGUAAUAAAAAUACAAUUUCUUUUGAAAAAGUCAAAAUAACCUAAUAUUUAUUCUAAAUCUGGCAAAGUCAUCGAGGCCGCAUUAUAAGCUCUUGAGGGCCGCAUGCGGCCCGCGGGCCGUAGUUUGGAGACCCCUGAGAUAGAGCAUGGAGUUAGUAAUGAAGGAAGGAGUUGGAUGGGGCUGUGCGUUAGGCUCGUCUUUCUAGAAGGACGUUGAUCGUUCGGGACAUCUGGGAAUGGAUUUAUUAUGUAUGUGUGUAUUAGGUUUGAUGGGUGUUUUGGUGGUGCAUGACACAAAGGGUUCGUUUAAGAAACAUCUUAGGCUAAGGCUGUAGAUUCAUCAGAGGAGAUGCAAUAUUCAAACAUUUGGGGAUUACCGAUAAGUCGUUGCUGGGAUCACUUUUCUGUUUUAGAUGGCAGUAAGUAACCUUUCAAUGAAUUAUAGAACAUGUCACAGAUAACUCGUUCCAAGUUUACAAUAUCUCAAACAAGAGCCAAAAAGUGAUCAAGAAGUCAAUUAAUAAUCAUUAAAUUAUAGUUUUUUGCUUAACCUAUGGCAUUCUGUAGUGUGAAUCGAUGUCUGCACUGCAAAAUGUCACGCGAUGUUCGUGUUUAGCCGCAUUAAGACUAAUUUUGGAGAGUAUUGAAAUGUUGAAAAUCUUCUUCAGGACACAACAAAACUUUCUACAGGCAUUGUACAAUGUACUCUCUUCAGAACCAUAUCCGAAGAAUAAGACACCGUCAAGAUAUGGAUGAAAGAUGAACCUACAAAAUGUGUCUUCGCUCGAUGUAUUUGGCUUGAAAGAUAAAUUUAAAUAAACGUACGCAAUGGGAACGAAGCUGACUUUGACUUACAUUCCCACGUGUGUCCUCUUCUCCCUUGAUUUUCAACUCACAUCCAACCGUACCCACUGGCACAGUAACAACCCUUUUCCGAACCCGAAAAGAUUGAUAUGCAAAUGCGUGCGUGUAAUUACCUGUGCCAAACAGUGCUGGCAAUAAUUAUAAUAACAAUAACAGCACACACACAAACACACAGGCAGCAACAAUAACAUUCUCUUCUUCUGCUGGAUUUCAUCGAGAUCGUUCGUUGUGGAUAGUUUCCCUCUCUUUUUGUCUUGCCUACUCGCUCUCACACACACACAAACACACUGGCACACAAUGGUGUCGGUUUUUAGGAGUGGUGGACAUUAAAAGCCUCCGCCAUGUCCUCGCUCUGACCCGACCGAGUGCAAACAGUUUUUCUAACCUAGAAAACGCACUCUCAAGGCCACCCCGGAGGCUAAUGGAGGAAAAACUCGACCACACACCUCAUCCCUCCGGAAAGGGGGAUGGAAAGCAGAAAGGGUAAAGGGUGUGUGAGGGGUGUGUGUGUGUGCAAAAACAGUUGGAAAAAGUUCAUUCGUCAUUCGACAAUGACGCCAUGAUGAUGCUGCCCAUGAUGCUGCUGAUGAGGUGGAAAGACACACACACACAUGAAAUCGAGGAGUUCGUUGGCCGGCAGUCUCUACAAACCGAAACAACAACAACAAUAAUAAUGACCCAAAACACCGCACCAGGAAGGGUAGACAGAAACGCAUCGUCCUUAUCGUCCACCCAAAGCCACCAAGCCCGGCGGCUCCACAAACACACGCGCCCGCCGCUUUGAUACACUUUUGACCCCGGGGAGGUGGGUUGUGGGUUGACUUGCGCGGGCUUUAGCCAUGUGCGCGCAAAAAGGUGGUGCGUGUUUGCGGGGUGAGAAUGGCUGAUUUUCGAACCAGUUUCGAGGAAUUUGGGAAGCGUAUUCCGUGAUUUUGAUACACACUCGGGAGUGUGUGUAGAGGUGUGUGUGUGUGUGCUUGGGACACCAACACACAAAAUGCACCGCGUUGCACAGCGCAUCAAACUGCAGAAACUGCGUCGCGGGUGCAAAUUUGCCACGUUUUCGGUCAAAAUUUGUUGCUCCGGCCGGCUCCGGCGGUGGGGGAUUGGGGCUGCAAGCACGGAAGCAAGAGGAAAUGCUGGAAUGGAGACGCAUGCAGUUUUUGCCGCUGCUGCUGCUGCUGCUGUAGAUACUGCUUGCUUUGCUUUCCGCACUGCUCGCACUCGCUCUCUCCGCCUCGUUUCGUUCGGCUCGAUCGUUCCCUCUCGCUUCUCUCGCUGCGCUGGUUGUAAAAUUGCGCAAGGCAGAUUCUUUUUCUUUUCCCUUCCCUCACUGUUCGCUAUUUGGUACUGCUACACCGAACCAAGGGAACGGUUGCGCGUGUGUUGGUAGGCACUCCUCCCCCACCAGCGGGAAAAUCGCGUCGCAAAUAGCGAAACGCCGGCCGGAACGACUGGAAGGGAUGAAGCGAGGACCGUGUACGUACACGAGCGCCUGGGAGUGGGGAUGAACGUUUUACACUUGCCCAUUAUACACACACACACACACACACACUUACACCCCAACUCAACAACCCCCACCCCAUACUGUAUUUGCGUUGCUUCACAAACAGCCGAGGUGGGAAAUAGCGUAUGUCUGUGUGUGUGUGUGUGAGAGAGAGCGAAACGGCAACAACAUCUGUCAUCUCACGUCAUCUUGCGCCCCACACACGGAACGACGCAUGCGCCUGCAGUGCAAUUGGAAGUGCAAUUGCCCAUCGCACACCCCUCAUUUGUGUACACGCACCACCACCACCAUCACCGCCACAACCGAUCUGUGUGUGUGUGUGUGUGUGUAUUUGUGCGCAAUUGACGAGGGUGAGGCCGUGUGUGAGUGAGCGAGCGAGAAAGUGCUACAGUGCUAAGAGCACCCACAAACGAGAGCGAGAGAGCGCGCGCGCCCGCGAGUGAAUUGAGGGUGAGCUCGCGCUACGUGAAGGUGUGUGCGUGCGCGCGAUGGGUUGCCGUGGGUGACCGAGCGAGAGGGCGUGCGGUGUAGUGCCGUCUCAGCCGCACGGCCGACUGCGUGGACACGUUCCUUGGGCACAGUUUAAGGGAAGAAAUUUUAUUUUAUUUCAAACGUUCGUGCCGUACAGUCGCGCCGUGGUCGUCUGCUGCCGUGCCCCGUUUGCUGUGUCCCGUUGUGUGUGCGCGCGCGGACACCAAGUCCCCGGUCCUGUGGCCAAGGAAGGUACACGCACGUACCAACACACACACACACACACACGGACACACAAGGUUACACGUAAUGGUUUUUUAUCCAAACCAGUAGGAAAAAGGGCUUGCACGAAAAAGCGAGUUGGAAAAUCUAAGCUCACGGCGAAAACGAAAAGGCAGCAGCAGUGCAGUAUCGCGUGUUUGUUGCGUGUUUUCGGUGCGUUUUUGUUGCGCUUCUCGGGUGUGCGUCGCGAAAAUAAAAUAAAAAAACCAGAUUGCGUGCGGUGUACGACACUUUCCAGUUGGCUUUCCGCUGGCCGGUCGGAACGGAAAACGGAAUCGAACGCGUCGGCGGAAAUUCGCGAGCGGAGGUUUUGCGGAGAAAAAUCCGGUGCAAUGGUGUAAAGUUUUUCUUUCCAAAUUUUUAUUCCACAAAGAACGCUGUGCCGGGCACGAAAUUGAGGGAAGAUUUUUACUCAACAACUGUGAACCAACAAGUCUGAUAAGAAAACGCAGCGUUUGACGGGAAAAAUGUUGAUGGGAUUUUUUUGUUGCGUUUCUCGAUAUCCCUAAACCGGCCAUCUUCAACCCGAACACACACUGGAGCCAAUCGGAAAAAUCGGCUAAGUCGCGAGUGAUUUUUUUUUAGUUUCAUAAAAAAUUGUGACGAUUUCUGAAGCUAAUCAGUGAAAAGUGGUGAGGCAUUUUUUUAAAAUUCAGACACCAACGAAGAGAAUACAAGACUGCAAUAAUUUUGUAAAACGUUCGUUAUCAUCCUUUGUCCCAUGCUAAAUUAAUGCCAAAAAAGACUCAACAAAAGGAAAUUAUGGCCUUUUUAAGUUGAAAAAAACCCCAAAAAAUCAUGUGGAAGAACUGACUGACUGCGAGGGUUGAGUGUUGAGCCUAAAAGCCCUUUACGAAAAUGUGAAUCUAAUGUGCCUAAACGAAUGAAAUGAUGACGCCUUUGAAGCCCGCGGGAUUGUCAUUUGCCACCAUGCCACCAACCAUGCACGGAACCCCGCUCCACACCUCAUCAAGGCUAACAAUCAAUAGUUCCUCACCACCCAAAUCGGAACCAUCUGCUGCGGCACGGUGUCUCGGUGAUCAUUUAACUCCUGCCGCGGGGCUUUCGGGUCGGUUAAGACGGACCAGGUAAACUCCAACUUUACAAAGACCACCACAGAAAAAAAAACCGAUCAUUUGAGGCUUGCGGCAACUCUCCCGCUUGUUUUUUGUUGUGUGUGGCAUGGCACACCACAAACCGAAACAUAUGUAUCGAAUGUCGUCCGCGCCAUCGACGGCACCAGCACCGGAGGCGGUGGAAGCUGAAACACGAAAAACAACAACCUUCCUUCCUCGCCGGGGAGCUGCCCGGGACUGACCUAUAAUUAUGAGUACCAGCCGGCAGGCAUUCCAAGGCCUUCCUGAAAGCCUUUCUGGAGGAGGAGGAGGAGGUGGGGCGGUAUCGGCUUUCAGUUGUGCGGUCAAAUGGUCACUGAGGCUUCGGCUUCUUAUCGACACGUCCACGAAAACAUACCAAAAUCCUCUCCAACCAAGGCUUGGAGAAGCUUUCGCUGGCCAAAACCGGUGCCCAUGUUGGAGUUGGACCAGCAGCGCAAAAAAUUACAAAAUCUUCAAAGAAAUCACUGGAAUUUCGCAUGCCUUUGUUGCUGCGUUUACAAAUUUUUAAGAGUCUCCUUUUCUUUUUUUUUAGCUCGGCUCGCUUCCCAUUUCGCUUUAGCGCUUUGCGGGCCACGGCAAAAAUGGUCGGACGCCAACUAACGCGUAUUCCGGCUUCAACGGUAGCAACCCAUUACACAAACACAGACACACACACACACACCACCAUUCUCGGCAGCGAUUUUGAAAAGGUCAAAUCAUGUUUUCAUGUCGUUGUUUUUUGUUGCUUCGGGAUGGUUCGCACGCAACUCGGUUGUGGGGAAAUGCAAGCGAGCGGAGGAAAAAUGCACCGCCAAUUGCAUUCCUUUCGGGACUGUGCGGAGAGCGGUGCAGCGGUGGGGUUUUAAUUUUUUUGUUGUGCUGCUGUUUCAAUCUUUGACAUUUUAUUUCGGGGGUUUUCAGUCGCUUGCAUGCGAACAACAAGGCUUUUGUUGGGUUUUGUUUGGGAAAGACUCUUAGUUCUUGGAGGACUUUUGGGAUUUCAGAAGACAGCAUUUAUUUUUUUAUUUCGGCAAAGACCUGAGAGUUAAGUCCUAGAUGAUCUGGAAAUAUGCAAGCAAAACAAUCAAUUAUUGAGUGCAAAAUGCACCGUACUACAUCACACAAGUGAAGACGUUUCGCCAACUUCACUCGCCAUUCAGAUUGAUGUCUUACUCCCGACGCGGGCCAGCAUGAUUGAUCAGCGCGGCCCCAUAAACCUGUCCAAUUUCCAUAUCGAUGGAAGGCGUCUGGUGCCGCUGGUGCCUAAUAUCUAUCUCCCUUCUCCCGACCUGCCGUGGCUUGAUUUAUUGUCCUGCCGGAGGUGAAGCCCAUUGCCGCUCAUUUUUCAUCCACCAUCCUGAUGACGAUCAUUAUGCAGCGUGUAGCGGAGUGUUUUCGUGUGUUGAUGUGCCAAUAGUCCAAUAGCCGGCGGACGGGAUCCUUCGUUAAGGGCUCGGCUGCGUCGCAAGCAACUCUGCGCCUCCGCACGUCUGCGCCUCCUUCGCCACGGCUGCCAAAUUGCUUCCCUUCACCUGUUUAAUGAUCUUCGCCAACCCUUUCGCUUCACCGUGAACGCUCCAGCGGCGUGGAUUUGCUCUCAUCCGUUGUGGCGUCGAGCGGUUUGUCGUAGGUGGGCGUCAUGUAAGGCGCGAAAAAAAAAACACACUCACACACACUGAUUAAUGUUCGAUGAUGUGGCGGAAUCCUUUCCGCAGUUUGCGUGUGUGUUUGGGUGUGUGGGAGAAGGUUUUUUUGGGCAGAAUAAUUAACGCCCGUCGAGGUUAGGAGAUCAAAGCAAGGCGGAGAACCGAUCGUUGUGGAAAGUCUGGCAAAGCAUUGGAAAGGUGCUCGAGACGUUAAUGAAGAUUUGUGGGAAGGUUUUUUUGGGGCUUGGUUGCCGAAUUCUCACCGGAUGGAGAAUUAUGAUGAGAAGAUGUUGUUGGUUUUGAUAUUUAAGAGCUUAUUCCUGCGACAUGGAAAGCAGCUAGCAAAUAGACAAGAAAAAGCAUUCUUGUCUUUUUACAACCUUCCGGGAGGGCGGCUGUCAAAUGGCAGGGCUACCGUGCUGAAGUAAAAGAUCCCUCACACCCGGCUCCAGUUUCCAGGGUUGAAUAGUUUCCGAUGCAAUUAAUUUUUUUGCCAUCGUCGUUUGUUAAUUGAAACUUUAGAGCCCCUCUGUUGGUGCAGCUAGAACGCCCGGAGAGGGUAAUCAAUCUAGGAGGCAAGCAAAACUGGGGGACAGCAUAGACACGGUCGCAAACCAACAGAAAACCGUGCCAUGUGGAGAUGACAUCCAUCAACCGAAGCCGUAGAUAUCCGCAGAUGCUCCCGGUAGCGAAAGGGUUUCCCUCCGAUUGCCCCGCUUUGAGCCGAGCGCGGCUCACACGAAAUAUGAUCUACAACCCAGCAGCAGCAGCAGGCAUGAACACAGACACGGCAAAAGGGGUUUGGACAAUUUUAAUUUCACAACAUGACUCCACCACCUCCGCACACUGCGCCCCCGGUGCGCGGCCCACAAUGUGUUUAAAUUGCGAUGAUAUUUUUAAGCGAGCGCGCGCCCUCUAAACCACACGAGCUGCCGGGGCCUCCUGCCGGUGUGGACUGUGACGGUGUUGCUUGAGCUAAGCCGCAUCUCGUCGCGUUGGCGUCGACGGCCGGCUACGCCUCUGCUCGGUGGGAGGGCCCCUUCGCUCACUGCCAAGGGGGGGCUACGGAGUGUAAACAAAGGCUAGCGUCACAGGGGCACCGGGUUCGAUUCGAGUCCAACCAUUGAGUCCCUUCUGUGUGCGCGAGUACUUGGGCGGGAAGUCAAAAGCAAAGGGACAAGUCUUUGCAGCUGCCAAUGCUCGCGACAAUGCAAAUCCUACCAACACGGGGAUUGACUGGACUGGAGUUUGACCGGCCUGUGAGCUAACGUUGCCAACGGUACACGAAAGAAUCAAGCGAACGCAAGACAUCGAAUUUGCCCAGAAAGAACCCGCAUCUCAAGUGCACUCCAGUGGCGGUGACGCAACAACGCGUUGGGAAGGGUCUUUUUCGCCCGGCUGGGACAGCUCUUCCGAGCUCUCGGGAAUCUCGCGCAGUUUGCGCGCUCUUCGCCCUUAAGUGGUGUGCUUAGGCGUACCGAAAGUGGCCCAAAGCCCAAAAACUCAUACACAAAACCACAGGGCGUAGUAUCGUUCCCGGUUGGGGAAGUUCUCGUACGCGGAGCAGCGAGCGAAGCCGUACGACGACGGUUGGUUCUUAUGCUGGAAUAGAAAUUUUGGAGAUGGUAAGACGCGAGGCACUCCUGCCAUCGCUUUGCCUUGCACAGAACCAAGUGGUGCUUGUACUGGGCUGUUCUUUUCGUUUCGAGUGUGGUUUUCGUCGUAUCAGAAAGGUUGUGUCCUACCCAUGCCCGUGCUUCAUCUGCCCUCUGCCCCGGCCUUGUUUUUGCUUGUGAUUAUUUUUUGAAAAGUAUCGAUUUCAUCCAAGAAACUUCGGCACAGCGCGCCAGAGGUCGUACCGGGGCAUUCCUUUGGGUUGAUUCGAUUGGUUUCGGUCCUGGGCACCGAGUGCCUGUGUUUCUUGCGUUCGCUCUUGACAUUGAUGCUGACAUGUGUUUCCUCUCCGCACGCUGUCCUUUCUGUCUCUGUCUGGGCGAUGGUUCCUGCGAGUGGUAACCUGAACACCCCGUGAAGCCUUCCACGGGGAAGCGAGAUAAAGAGCGACACUGGUUCGAAUGUAAUCGAAGAUCGUACGCUUCUCGCUUCCUAGGCAAAGGAAGACGGCAAAGGCCCAGCGAUCGUUUUCUUCCUCCUCUUCUACUUCUUCCCAUUGCUUCCUUUGAUCGUGGAGAUCGGUUUCAAUCGGUGACCAACAGGCCGAAGGAAGCAGGAAAAGAGGAUACUCGCACGGCGUUUCGGCCUUAACCCCUGUGUGCCACGAUCACAAAACCACAAAGUUCGGUGGAAACCUGUUCAAUAAAACUUUAUUACCUUAA
Molecule: long non-coding RNA, 8314 nt
Organism: Anopheles coluzzii
Lineage: Eukaryota; Metazoa; Arthropoda; Insecta; Diptera; Culicidae
Exons: 3
Source: RefSeq, a predicted model, not a curated record